RNAcentral lists this ribosomal RNA (580 nucleotides) under uncultured rumen bacterium. RNAcentral's name for it is "bacterial SSU rRNA". It matches the Rfam family "Bacterial small subunit ribosomal RNA", at positions 185 to 764 of the family's 1533-position model. The record is from RNAcentral.
GCCGCAUGACCUUUGUUUGAAAGAUCCGUCGGAUACGGAUGGGCUCGCGAGACAUUAGCUAGUCGGCGUGGUAACGGCACACCGAGGCGACGAUGUCUAGGGGUUCUGAGAGGAAGGUCCCCCACACUGGAACUGAGACACGGUCCAGACUCCUACGGGAGGCAGCAGUGAGGAAUAUUGGUCAAUGGGCGCAAGCCUGAACCAGCCAUGCCGCGUGAAGGAAUAAGGCCCUAUGGGUCGUAAACUUCUUUUGUGGUGGAGCAAUAAGGUGCACGUGUGCAUCGAUGAGAGUACAUCACGAAUAAGCAUCGGCUAACUCCGUGCCAGCAGCCGCGGUAAUACGGAGGAUGCAAGCGUUAUCCGGAUUUAUUGGGUUUAAAGGGUGCGUAGGCUGUUCGACAAGUCAGGGGUGAAAGCCCAGUGCCUAACACUGGAACUGCCUUUGAUACUGCCGAGCUGGAAUACGGAUGCCGUGGGAGGAAUGAGUAGUGUAGCGGUGAAAUGCAUAGAUAUUACUCAGAACACCGAUUGCGAAGGCAUCUCACGAAUCCGUCAUUGACGCUUNGGCACGAAAGCGUGG